Molecule: ribosomal RNA, 406 nt
Filed under: uncultured bacterium
Lineage: Bacteria
Description: partial 16S ribosomal RNA
Rfam family: Bacterial small subunit ribosomal RNA
Source: RNAcentral
AUUGAACGCUGGCGGCAGGCCUAACACAUGCAAGUCGAACGAGUGGCGGACGGGUGAGUAAUGUCUGGGAAACUGCCUGAUGGAGGGGGAUAACUACUGGAAACGGUAGCUAAUACCGCAUACCAUCGGAUGUGCCCCGAUGUGAUUAGCUAGUAGGUGGGGUAAAGGCUCACCUAGGCGACGAUCCCUAGCUUGUCUGAGAGGAUGACCAGACACACUGUAACUGGAGCACGGGCCAUGCGCCUACGGGAGGCGGCAGGGGGGAAUAGUGUGCAAUUGGCGCAAUCCUGAUGCAGCCAUGCCGCGUGUAUGAAGAAGGCGUGCGGGUUGUAAAGUCCUUUCAUCGGGGAGGCGUUACCCGCAGAAGAAGCACCGUCUAACUCCGUGCCAGCAGCCGCGGUAAUUC